This 1441-nucleotide ribosomal RNA is filed under the name metagenome. RNAcentral describes it as "bacterial SSU rRNA". It matches the Rfam family "Bacterial small subunit ribosomal RNA". The record is from RNAcentral.
GUUUGAUCCUGGCUCAGGAUGAACGCUGGCGGCGUGCUUAACACAUGCAAGUCGAACGCACCUUCGGGUGAGUGGCGGACGGGUGAGUAACGCGUGAGAAUCUGCCCUCAGGAGGGGGAUAACGGCUGGAAACGGCCGCUAAUACCCCAUAUGCCGCGAGGUGAAACGAGUUUUCGCCUGAGGACGAGCUCGCGUCUGAUUAGCUAGUUGGUGGGGUAAGAGCCUACCAAGGCAUCGAUCAGUAGCCGGUCUGAGAGGAUGAUCAGCCACACUGGGACUGAGACACGGCCCAGACUCCUACGGGAGGCAGCAGUGGGGAAUUUUCCGCAAUGGGCGAAAGCCUGACGGAGCAACGCCGCGUGAGGGAUGAAGGCCUCUGGGCUGUAAACCUCUUUUCUCAAGGAAGAAGAUCUGACGGUACUUGAGGAAUAAGCCACGGCUAAUUCCGUGCCAGCAGCCGCGGUAAUACGGGAGUGGCAAGCGUUAUCCGGAAUUAUUGGGCGUAAAGCGUCCGCAGGCGGUCUUGAAAGUCUGUUGUUAAAGCGUGGAGCUUAACUCCAUUUCAGCAAUGGAAACUAGAAGACUAGAGUGUGGUAGGGGCAGAGGGAAUUCCCGGUGUAGCGGUGAAAUGCGUAGAUAUCGGGAAGAACACCAGUGGCGAAGGCGCUCUGCUGGGCCAUAACUGACGCUCAUGGACGAAAGCCAGGGGAGCGAAAGGGAUUAGAUACCCCUGUAGUCCUGGCCGUAAACGAUGAACACUAGGUGUCGGGGGAAUCGACCCCCUCGGUGUCGUAGCCAACGCGUUAAGUGUUCCGCCUGGGGAGUACGCACGCAAGUGUGAAACUCAAAGGAAUUGACGGGGGCCCGCACAAGCGGUGGAGUAUGUGGUUUAAUUCGAUGCAACGCGAAGAACCUUACCAGGGUUUGACAUCCUGCGAAUCCCUUGGAAACGAGGGAGUGCCUUCGGGAGCGCAGAGACAGGUGGUGCAUGGCUGUCGUCAGCUCGUGUCGUGAGAUGUUGGGUUAAGUCCCGCAACGAGCGCAACCCACGUCUUUAGUUGCCAGCAUUCAGUUGGGCACUCUAGAGAGACCGCCGGUGAUAAACCGGAGGAAGGUGUGGAUGACGUCAAGUCAUCAUGCCCCUUACAUCCUGGGCUACACACGUACUACAAUGCUACGGACAAAGGGCAGCAAACUCGCGAGAGCUAGCAAAUCCCAUAAACCGUGGCUCAGUUCAGAUCGUAGGCUGCAACUCGCCUACGUGAAGGAGGAAUCGCUAGUAAUCGCAGGUCAGCAUACUGCGGUGAAUACGUUCCCGGGCCUUGUACACACCGCCCGUUACACCAUGGAAGUUGGCCACGCCCGAAGUCGUUACUCCAACCCUUGUGGAGGAGGACGCCGAAGGUGGGGCUGAUGACUGGGGUGAAGUCGUAACAAGGUA